AGAUUGAACGCUGGCGGCAUGCCUUACACAUGCAAGUCGAACGGCAGCACGGGGGCAACCCUGGUGGCGAGUGGCGAACGGGUGAGUAAUACAUCGGAACGUGUCCUGUAGUGGGGGAUAGCUCGGCGAAAGCCGGAUUAAUACCGCAUACGCUCUACGGAGGAAAGCGGGGGAUCUUCGGACCUCGCGCUAAAGGGGCGGCCGAUGGCAGAUUAGCUAGUUGGUGGGGUAAAGGCCUACCAAGGCGACGAUCUGUAGCUGGUCUGAGAGGACGACCAGCCACACUGGGACUGAGACACGGCCCAGACUCCUACGGGAGGCAGCAGUGGGGAAUUUUGGACAAUGGGGGCAACCCUGAUCCAGCAAUGCCGCGUGUGUGAAGAAGGCCUUCGGGUUGUAAGCACUUUUGUCAGGGAAGAAAGGAUUCUACUAAUACUGGAGUCUGAUGACGGUACCUGAAGAAUAAGCACCGGCUAACUACGUGCCAGCAGCCGCGGUAAUC
This 502-nucleotide ribosomal RNA is filed under the name uncultured bacterium. RNAcentral describes it as "SSU rRNA". It matches the Rfam family "Bacterial small subunit ribosomal RNA", at positions 26 to 525 of the family's 1533-position model. The record is from RNAcentral.